UGUGGAUGGUUGCUGAGCUGCGCAUUCGGCAUUGGGCUUGCUUUGUUUCCUGCCAGGCCCAGCAUUUUCUUAUACCAGAUCGGCAGGCUUGUGGGCUUCUUCCUAGGUCCCUCCCCUGCACUCUGAAUAGGAAAGCUGGAAGCUGUUCUUUAGAGAAGCUUUAAGACGCCGUAAGAAACCAGAAGAAAGCAUUUUGACUUGUUGAUGUCAAUUUGGAACAGCUGAAAAAAUACAGGAAAAUAAGAUAAAUACGUACAUGUUGAGGGUGGGGACAAAAUGAAGGUUCUGAACCAGCUGCCGGCUUACAGUAGCCAUAUAAGCAGCAGCAGCAAUGCACCAACCUGGUGGCAUGGAAUGUUCACAUGGGAGAGCCGCAUGAGGCCGCCCACCACGCUUCCUGAAGGAUGCCCGUGUGGAAGAAUUUUGACGUGCCAGUGUCCUCGUUCUACAGGGUGUUCCGUUCUUCCGCAAUCUCAGAAAAAUGGGACUAAAAGAAACUAGUUUGUAAAAUAAGAAGACUUCCAUUU
Molecule: small RNA, 527 nt
Filed under: Pan troglodytes (chimpanzee)
Lineage: Eukaryota; Metazoa; Chordata; Mammalia; Primates; Hominidae
Description: processed transcript
Source: RNAcentral